RNAcentral lists this ribosomal RNA (187 nucleotides) under uncultured Pseudoalteromonas sp. Its description in RNAcentral is "partial 16S ribosomal RNA". It matches the Rfam family "Bacterial small subunit ribosomal RNA", at positions 353 to 531 of the family's 1533-position model. Lineage: Bacteria; Pseudomonadati; Pseudomonadota; Gammaproteobacteria; Alteromonadales; Pseudoalteromonadaceae. The record is from RNAcentral.
GGUCGCGAAUAUUGCACAAUGGGCGCAAGCCUGAUGCAGCCAUGCCGCGUGUGUGAAGAAGGCCUUCGGGUUGUAAAGCACUUUCAGUCAGGAGGAAAGGUUAGUAGUUAAUACCUGCUAGCUGUGACGUUACUGACAGAAGAAGCACCGGCUAACUCCGUGCCAGCAGCCGCGGUAAAUAAAAAAA